CUGAGUGCGGGCGCAAGCCCAACCUCCAACCCAUUGUAAUCCGACUCUGUUGCCUCGGGGGCGACCCGGCCUUCGGGCGUUGGGGCCCCCGGUGGACCACUUAACUCUGCAUCUUUGCGUCUGAGUGAUAAAUCAAAUAUAUCA
This 144-nucleotide unclassified non-coding RNA is filed under the name uncultured fungus. RNAcentral describes it as "sequence contains ITS1". Lineage: Eukaryota; Fungi. The record is from RNAcentral.